This 621-nucleotide ribosomal RNA is filed under the name uncultured Actinomycetes bacterium. Its description in RNAcentral is "bacterial SSU rRNA". It matches the Rfam family "Bacterial small subunit ribosomal RNA", at positions 252 to 866 of the family's 1533-position model. Lineage: Bacteria; Bacillati; Actinomycetota; Actinomycetes. The record is from RNAcentral.
GUGGGGUAAUGGCCCACCAAGGCGAUGACGGGUAGCUGGUCUGAGAGGACGACCAGUCACACUGGGACUGAGACACUGCCCAGACUCCUACGGGAGGCUGCAGUCGAGAAUCUUCCGCAAUGGGCGAAAGCCUGACGGAGCGACACCGCGUGCAGGAUGAAGGCCUUAGGGUUGUAAACUGCUGUCACGCUCUAGGAAUGGCGCGUCGUUAAUAGCGGCACGCUUGACCAAAGCGAAAGGAAGCACCGGCUAACUCCGUGCCAGCAGCCGCGGUAAGACGGAGGGUGCAAACGUUGUUCGGAAUCACUGGGCAUAAAGCGCACGCAGGCGGCGCGCUAAGUCAGGUGUGAAAGCCCUCGGCUCAACCGAGGAACUGCUCCUGAUACUGGCGUGCUCGAGGACGGUUGGGGCGAGUGGAACUCCUGGUGGAGCGGUGAAAUGCGUAGAUAUCAGGAGGAACACCGGUGGCGAAAGCGGCUCACUGGGCCGUCUCUGACGCUGAGGUGCGAAAGCUAGGGGAGCGAACGGGAUUAGAUACCCCGGUAGUCCUAGCCGUAAACGAUGGGCACUAGGCAAGGGGGGUUCCUAUGGUCUUCUUUGCCGUAGCAAAUGUGUUAAGUG